This 50-nucleotide small nucleolar RNA is filed under the name Erinaceus europaeus (western European hedgehog). Lineage: Eukaryota; Metazoa; Chordata; Mammalia; Eulipotyphla; Erinaceidae. The record is from RNAcentral.
UUAACAGCACUCAAUGGGUCUGUCACCCAUGACCCACUGAGGCGUCAAGA